GCUUCCGAGCGGUCGCUCCCUCGCGAGGUGCCGCGGGUCAGCGGCUGACGCCAGCCACCUUCCCGACCCGUCUUGAAACACGGACCAAGGAGUCUAACAUGUGCGCGAGCCGCGGGGCAGUACGAAACCCGUAAGGCGAAAUGAAGGUGAACGCCGGCGCGGUCCGGCGGAGGUUGGAUCCCGUCCCGUCGGGGCGGGCGCACUACCGGCCGAUCUUCUCCGCCCUGUCGGCGAGGUCGAGCGAGAGCGUGCAAGUCGGGACCCGAAAGAUGGUGAACUAUGCCUGAGGAGGUUGAAGCCAGAGGAAACUCUGGUGGAGGACCGUAGCGAUUCUGACGUGCAAAUCGAUCGUCAAAUUUGGGUAUAGGGGCGAAAGACUAAUCGAACCGUCUAGUAGCUGGUUCCCUUCGAAGUUUCCCUCAGGAUAGCUGGCGCUCUGUCGCAGUUUUAUCUGGUAAAGCGAAUGAUUAGAGGUCUUGGGGGCGAAACGCCCUCAACCUAUUCUCAAACUUUAAAUUGGUAAGAAGCCCGACUCGCUCGUUUGGAGCCGGGCAUGGAAUGCGAGUGCCAAGUGGGCCACUCUUGGUAAGCAGGACUGGCGAUGCGGGAUGAACCGAACGCCGGGUUAAGGCGCUGACGCGACGCUAAUCAAUUUCGACUGAACCCCUUUCGACUGAACUCCUUUCGACUGAACCACUUACACUGAACCCUAUUCAAUUAGGAAUGUACAAUAUAAAAUAAUUAACUAUUCUAGAAUAAUAUCGAAUCAAGAAUUUCGAAUACUAUUCUAGAUGUUU
Non-coding RNA from Ciona savignyi (Pacific transparent sea squirt), 797 nucleotides. NCBI's taxonomy places the organism in Eukaryota, Metazoa, Chordata, Ascidiacea, Phlebobranchia, Cionidae. The record is from Rfam.